RNAcentral lists this transfer RNA (86 nucleotides) under Bacilli bacterium. RNAcentral's name for it is "tRNA-Leu". It matches the Rfam family "tRNA". Rfam says of the family: Transfer RNA (tRNA) molecules are approximately 80 nucleotides in length. Lineage: Bacteria; Bacillati; Bacillota; Bacilli. The record is from RNAcentral.
GCGAGAGUGGCGGAAUUGGUAGACGCGAAGGUCUCAAACACCUUUAACCUUUGGUUGUGUGGGUUCAAGUCCCAUCUCUCGCACCA